GAUGAAGAACGUAGCGAAAUGCGAUAAGUAGUGUGAAUUGCAGACUUUAGUGAAUCAUCGAAUCUUUGAACGCACAUUGCGCCCCUUGGUAUUCCAUUGGGCAUGCCUGUUCGAGCGUCAUUUAAACCUUCAAGCUUUGCUUGGUGUUGGGGAUCGGCCGUUAAACGCCGCCCCCGAAAUCUAUUGGCGAUCUCGCUGUAGCUUCCUAUGCGUAGUAGUAACAUCUCGCAUCUGGAGAGCGGCGCGGUCAUGCCGUAAAACACCCAACUUCUCAGGUUGACCUCAGAUCAGGUAGGAAUACCCGCUGAACUUAAGCAUAUCAAUAAGCGGAGGA
Molecule: unclassified non-coding RNA, 334 nt
Filed under: soil metagenome
Description: partial contains 5.8S ribosomal RNA, internal transcribed spacer 2, and large subunit ribosomal RNA
Rfam family: 5.8S ribosomal RNA (bases 1-120)
Source: RNAcentral